Molecule: ribosomal RNA, 370 nt
Filed under: uncultured organism
Description: bacterial SSU rRNA
Rfam family: Bacterial small subunit ribosomal RNA
Source: RNAcentral
CGUAGGCAGCGAGCGUUGUUCGGAGUUACUGGGCGUAAAGGGUGUGUAGGCGGUUGUUUAAGUUUGGUGUGAAAUCUCCCGGCUCAACUGGGAGGGUGCGCCGAAUACUGAAUGACUUGGAGUGCGGGAGAGGUGAGUGGAAUUCCUGGUGUAGCGGUGAAAUGCGUAGAUAUCAGGAGGAACACCGGUGGUGUAGACGGCUCACUGGACCGUAACUGACGCUGAGACACGAAAGCGUGGGUAGCAAACAGGAUUAGAUACCCUGGUAGUCCACGCCCUAAACGAUGCAUAUUUGGUGUGGGCAGUUCAUUCUGUCCGUGCCGGAGCUAACGCGUUAAAUAUGCCGCCUGGGGAUACAGUCGCAAGGCUG